CUCAACUUUAUAUUUUGAACCAAUUUGCUGAAUGGUGGGAGGAGAGUUCAAAAAGAACCUCCGCACUGAAAUGGCACAUUCACCUUGUGUUUGUAACUUGCACACAGGAACUGGAUUAUAAAUUCCUCCCCAUAUACACAACAACACCCUCUUCCUAAUUCUAUUUGUCAGAUUUUAAUUUCUUUUCUCCUCCUUACUACAUUUCCCCUUUAAAUGUAUUCUUCACUCCUCAUUCAGCUACCUUUUAUCAACCCUCUCCUCAUCCCAUCUCGUGGUUUCAUCCAUUUCCCAUCCCCUAAAGACACAGUCCUUUACCAAUUUUUAUUUCAGAUACCUUUCCCCAUGAGUAAACCUCUCAUUACUCCCAUUAUAACUGUAAGGGUUCAUAUAGUAUUAAAUUGUAAUCCUUUAUGUUGGCCUUAUACCAUGCCAGGCAGUUACUAUGGUUAACCCCAAAGUCACCCAUGUUGUCAAUCCGGGAUGGACUGCAAGCAGUCUGGCUCCCCCAGGCAGAAUUAGGCGCUGAGCCCCCCUACGAUUACAUUAACUGAGUAAAGUUCUGUGCCGUUUGGGUGGAACCUUUUAUGUAUUAAAGGACCACUAUAGUGCCAGGAAAACAUACUCUUUUUUCCUGGCACUAUAGUGCCCUGAGGGUGCCCCCACCCUCAGGGUCCCCCUCCCGCUGGGCUCUAGGGGGAGGAAGGGGUUAAACUUACCGGGCGGGGAGCUCUUCUCCUCCUCUUCGGCGGAAUGCACAUGCGCGGCAGGAGCCACGCGCACAUUCAGCCAGUCCAUAG
Molecule: non-coding RNA, 797 nt
Organism: Pelobates cultripes (western spadefoot toad)
Lineage: Eukaryota; Metazoa; Chordata; Amphibia; Anura; Pelobatidae
Source: the annotation of a GenBank genome assembly